UGGGAGAAUGUAUCUUGAAUUGUAGUUGUAACGUCCCUUUCUAUUGGUGGAAAUUUUUCUAGAGAAUAGUAACUGCCAAUCACAGUUGGUGUUGGUUAGAUCUAUUUAGUAUGGCCGAUCUCACAGCUGUCCACCUCAAGACGAGAAAAGCGAAGUGGCUUCACUCAGCGUCUGUCCUCCGACAUAAGCAGUACUAAAUAAUGUAAUCUGUUCAGAACUUGGUAUUAAUCUUGGCUUCCAUGCCAGCUUUAGGCUUUUUUUUUAGUAUUUGGCUCUGGAACCUUUUGUUCCAGCAGCAUUUUUAGUCUUUUGCCUAUGUAGUCGCUUUAAUUAAGAAGAGAGAGAGUAUCAAAUUGUCACCUCACAAUGGAGAUUUUUCUCCUAUAACCGCUACUAAAGCGGUGUAAGUACGGGGAUCAACGUACGAAUCCAUCAUUUCAUGGGUUCAUGAACGUGUGUCUUUAAGCCGCUGAGACGCCUCUGAAUCGAUGGCCGUCCUAGCUUGGGGUAUGCUGUCUCCUGUCCAUCUGGACGUGUAGAGCUCGAUCACCGAGCCUAGAUUCAAUUUGAAGAAACAGCUAUGAGUGUUGCAUCAAAGACCACCAAGUCUUGUGAAUGGCGAUUUUGCGUUUGAUUGAGCUGAUAGACGAUGGCUGCAGUGUUGAGUCUUGAUGUUGUCCGUGAUGCUGAUCUUCAAUAGCGGGUCUGGUGAGCCAACAUACUGUAAGGUUGGUGCC
This is a long non-coding RNA of Nilaparvata lugens (brown planthopper), 737 nucleotides long. RefSeq lists it as uncharacterized. The transcript has 3 exons. The record is from RefSeq and is a predicted model, not a curated record. NCBI's taxonomy places the organism in Eukaryota, Metazoa, Arthropoda, Insecta, Hemiptera, Delphacidae.